ACGCUGGCGGCGUGCCUAAUACAUGCAAGUCGUACGCUUCUUUUUCCACCGGAGCUUGCUCCACCGGAAAAAGAAGAGUGGCGAACGGGUGAGUAACACGUGGGUAACCUGCCCAUCAGAAGGGGAUAACACUUGGAAACAGGUGCUAAUACCGUAUAACAAUCGAAACCGCAUGGUUUUGAUUUGAAAGGCGCUUUCGGGUGUCGCUGAUGGAUGGACCCGCGGUGCAUUAGCUAGUUGGUGAGGUAACGGCUCACCAAGGCCACGAUGCAUAGCCGACCUGAGAGGGUGAUCGGCCACAUUGGGACUGAGACACGGCCCAAACUCCUACGGGAGGCAGCAGUAGGGAAUCUUCGGCAAUGGACGAAAGUCUGACCGAGCAACGCCGCGUGAGUGAAGAAGGUUUUCGGAUCGUAAAACUCUGUUGUUAGAGAAGAACAAGGAUGAGAGUAACUGUUCAUCCCUUGACGGUAUCUAACCAGAAAGCCACGGCUAACUACGUGCCAGCAGCCGCGGUAAUACGUAGGUGGCAAGCGUUGUCCGGAUUUAUUGGGCGUAAAGCGAGCGCAGGCGGUUUCUUAAGUCUGAUGUGAAAGCCCCCGGCUCAACCGGGGAGGGUCAUUGGAAACUGGGAGACUUGAGUGCAGAAGAGGAGAGUGGAAUUCCAUGUGUAGCGGUGAAAUGCGUAGAUAUAUGGAGGAACACCAGUGGCGAAGGCGGCUCUCUGGUCUGUAACUGACGCUGAGGCUCGAAAGCGUGGGGAGCAAACAGGAUUAGAUACCCUGGUAGUCCACGCCGUAAACGAUGAGUGCUAAGUGUUGGAGGGUUUCCGCCCUUCAGUGCUGCAGCUAACGCAUUAAGCACUCCGCCUGGGGAGUACGACCGCAAGGUUGAAACUCAAAGGAAUUGACGGGGGCCCGCACAAGCGGUGGAGCAUGUGGUUUAAUUCGAAGCAACGCGAAGAACCUUACCAGGUCUUGACAUCCUUUGACCACUCUAGAGAUAGAGCUUCCCCUUCGGGGGCAAAGUGACAGGUGGUGCAUGGUUGUCGUCAGCUCGUGUCGUGAGAUGUUGGGUUAAGUCCCGCAACGAGCGCAACCCUUAUUGUUAGUUGCCAUCAUUCAGUUGGGCACUCUAGCAAGACUGCCGGUGACAAACCGGAGGAAGGUGGGGAUGACGUCAAAUCAUCAUGCCCCUUAUGACCUGGGCUACACACGUGCUACAAUGGGAAGUACAACGAGUCGCGAAGUCGCGAGGCUAAGCUAAUCUCUUAAAGCUUCUCUCAGUUCGGAUUGUAGGCUGCAACUCGCCUACAUGAAGCCGGAAUCGCUAGUAAUCGCGGAUCAGCACGCCGCGGUGAAUACGUUCCCGGGCCUUGUACACACCGCCCGUCACACCACGAGAGUUUGUAACACCCGAAGUCGGUGAGGUAACCUUUUGGAGCCAGCCGCCUAAGGUGGGAUAGAUGAUUGGG
RNAcentral lists this ribosomal RNA (1474 nucleotides) under Enterococcus durans. RNAcentral describes it as "bacterial SSU rRNA". It matches the Rfam family "Bacterial small subunit ribosomal RNA". The record is from RNAcentral. Lineage: Bacteria; Bacillati; Bacillota; Bacilli; Lactobacillales; Enterococcaceae.